RNAcentral lists this ribosomal RNA (346 nucleotides) under uncultured bacterium. RNAcentral's name for it is "partial 16S ribosomal RNA". It matches the Rfam family "Bacterial small subunit ribosomal RNA", at positions 338 to 676 of the family's 1533-position model. The record is from RNAcentral.
CCUACGGGAGGCAGCAGUGGGGAAUAUUGCGCAAUGGGCGAAAGCCUGACGCAGCGACGCCGCGUGAGGGAUGAAGGUCUUAGGAGCGUAAACCUCUGUCAGCAGGGAAGAACGGUCACUGUGCUAAUCAGCAGUGAAUUUACGGUACCUGCAAAGGAAGCACCGGCUAACUCCGUGCCAGCAGCCGCGGUAAUACGGAGGGUGUGAGCGUUAAUCGGAAUUACUGGGGGUAAAGCGCUCGUAGGCGGUAGGUCAAGUCAAGGGUGAAAUCCCCGCGCUCAACGUGGGAACUGCCUUUGAAACUGGCAAACUGGAGUGUGUGAGAGGAUAGUGGAAUUCCUGGUGU